Apis mellifera (honey bee) is the source of this 797-nucleotide long non-coding RNA. RefSeq lists it as uncharacterized. NCBI's taxonomy places the organism in Eukaryota, Metazoa, Arthropoda, Insecta, Hymenoptera, Apidae. The record is from RefSeq and is a predicted model, not a curated record. The transcript has 5 exons.
GCCAUAUCUUCGAGACAGUGUUAACGACGAUGAACUUCCUCCAUUGCAAGACAUUCAACUUCGUUUGGGAUAUCUUUGGAAUAAAUGAAUGCAAAUUUCGAAGUAAGGUAAGAAAGAUAAUUCUCGUGCGAUGGAGAAAUAGUUACAGAAUCUGGAACGAUCCUCGAGCAAAACGCGAUUUGGUAGCAGAAUUUCGUCGGUAUGCAGCACGACAACGAUAAACGUUCGAUGCGUGUGCUAUAAGCGUGGUGCACACUUCUCUCAAGGAUGCAGGACACAAAGGAUAUGGAUUCAAUAAGAGAAUGACAAUGUACUUAUUAGGAGUUGUAAUGCAUAUUCGAUAGAAACGAUAACACAAUGAACAAACAAAUUAUUUAAUUUUCAAUUGUCCUGAUUUUUUCUCCCGGUUUCCAGGUUCGUUACAUCUUCAAAUGUAGAAAAAUGCAAAAGAAAAAGAAAAUAUCAAUAGAAAGCAGGUCGUUGCAUAGAGGUCGCUACAAGUUCAUCGAAUUAUCUCGAGGUGAAUGAACUAUUACGGUUCCCCGAGAUGGACCAAUAAUUGAUGUCUUUUUUAUCCAAUUAACUAGAGACUUAACUGGACACAAACAUUAUACUAGGUCAAAUAUUAUGAUGGCAGAUACUGUACUUCUCUGGACAAAAAUAAAAUUCUAACGAUUGUGGGACAAGCGAAGAUAAGUAUAGUUUAUGAUUUCACAUUGCGAUAAUUAUUAUUAUUAUUAAAAAAAAAUGAUCAAUUUAAGUAUUUCUAAACAAAUUAUAUUUAGCAUUAAUAGAAA